Long non-coding RNA from Labrus mixtus (cuckoo wrasse), 839 nucleotides. RefSeq lists it as uncharacterized. The record is from RefSeq and is a predicted model, not a curated record. Lineage: Eukaryota; Metazoa; Chordata; Actinopteri; Labriformes; Labridae. The transcript has 2 exons.
AAUGAUGAGAAAAGUCCAUCCUCUCUGUCUUUUGCUUGCUCCACUUUUCAGAAAAUGUGUGUUCAAACAGGCUGUUUGGAGAUUUUCCCUUCAUGACAUCACAAGGGGGGGAUAGCCCCUCCCCCAGGUGGGUGACACUCCCCCAGCUAGGUGUUUGUUCUGCCCUCUGAGUCUGCCUUCUCACCGUAAACAAUAGGACAUGGAGCGAGAAAGACCGAGUACACCAAGCCCUUCCAGAGAGGGGGCGUGGUCAGACACAGCUCAUUUACAUAUUUAAAGGUACAGACACAGAAACAGCCUGUUCUGAGCAGGGCUGAAGUAGAGGGGUUUAUAGACAUGAUCAAAUACAGGAUCAGAGUGGAUUUAGAACAAGACACUUUUUUUACACACGUUUUGAGGAGCUCUGAGACUUAUUUACAUUGAAGAAGAGGAGGAGGCUAUGUGACCUUUAAUUUCUGUUUGUUGGUGAUUCCAUACUGAUAAUAAUCCUCUGCUGACACCUUUAACUGUGUCACCUCCAGGCUCAACACACUCGAUGUUAAAGUUUGUAUUGAAACUGGUUUUUCACAACAAACACAACAAACUGCAGAUUUUUUAUAACCUUCUUUAUACACAGAAUAAAAACAACUCUUACAAACUGAAAACUUUCGACAGAGCUUCUCCUUUUUAGACGUCAUCUUAAUUUAGAGUUAAACAACACUUUCUGAAAUGUUAACAAUAAAUAGUCCAAAUAACAAUUUACAUUAUGUUACAAAAAGCGCAGAGAAUACUGGAAUUUGUACAAAUAAAUCCUUCAUCAGAAAAUAAAGACAAAACCUGCUGUUUACUCUCGGUAAGAA